UCCCUGGCAGUCUAGCAGUAAAGAGCCUGCGCUUCCAAUGCAGGGGACACAGGUUCAAUCCCUGAUUGGGGAA
RNAcentral lists this transfer RNA (73 nucleotides) under Bos taurus (domestic cattle). It matches the Rfam family "tRNA". From Rfam's summary of the family: Transfer RNA (tRNA) molecules are approximately 80 nucleotides in length. Their secondary structure includes four short double-helical elements and three loops (D, anti-codon, and T loops). RNAcentral also lists the same sequence under 5 other names. Lineage: Eukaryota; Metazoa; Chordata; Mammalia; Artiodactyla; Bovidae. The record is from Rfam by way of RNAcentral.